AAAAAAUAAUAGAAUAAUAGUCUAUUUGUUUGUUGUGAAAAUAAUAAUAAUAAUAAAAAAAAUAUAAAAAAUAUAGAAAAUGGAAAAGGGUCCUCUCAAAAAUAGUUUAUUCGCCCGAACUACGCGGGUUUGAUUCUCACCGGAUGUGAGAUACGUAGGCAACCCUCAUCGGGUCCAACCCCACCUUUUGCUAAAAUAGCCAAAAAUCACAAUUUUAAUCUUGUCAUAAUUAAGUCGGGUGAUGUCCAACCCACCUUUUUGCUAAAUAGCCAAAAACAAAUAAAAAGAAAAACAUGUCAAGAUUUUUUCAUAAUUAAGUCGGGUGAUGUCCAACCCACCUUUUGCUAAAAUAGCCAAAAAACAAAUAAAUAAAAAAUAUAUGUCAAAUUUUAGUUUUUGUCAUAAAGAAGUCAGGUGACGCUGUUUUAUCAAGACAUAGCCGAAUGUUCCCGAAAGGGACGCCGGAAGGCUGACUUUGCAUAAACAGCCACCUUUGGGUCAUGAUUAGGAUUGUUGGUCCAGUUGACCCACACAGCCUUAAAGGGCUCCGUCCCCGAGACGUCGAAAGGCCGUGUUUGCAAUACAAGAUUUUUAUCAUAAUUUGAAAAAAAAAACAAAGAGUCAACGAUCGGGUGAAUGCCGUUUGGAUGUUUAGUCAAAAAAAAAAAUAUGAAAAAAUAAAAUAAGCCGAGCCAAUUUCGGCCGCGUCUUAAACCGUUCUUGCCGAAAUAGCCUUAGAGUAUCUUUCAGUUGUCGAAAGGUUAUUUUCGUAAAAGAAUGGACAAGUUUUAAAGUGUCAAAAUAAUCCUCCUCGGCCUCAAAAUUCAUGUGAGAGUUGGAAAGGGCCACAUUUGCAAAAAAUAACCAUUUGGUUAAAAUUAGCAAACAAAGGAAGGAAGUUGGCCAUUUGUUUUGAAGUCUAUAAAUCUUUUGUCUAGAAUAGGCGGGUUGUUUGAUUUUCAAGUUUGUAGGUCAUCUUUAAACCUUUGAAACCCAGUUUGUUU
Molecule: long non-coding RNA, 1004 nt
Filed under: Nicotiana tabacum (common tobacco)
Lineage: Eukaryota; Viridiplantae; Streptophyta; Magnoliopsida; Solanales; Solanaceae
Description: long non-coding RNA (NTAB_LNC014280)
Source: RNAcentral